Long non-coding RNA from Gallus gallus (chicken), 1978 nucleotides. The record is from Ensembl. NCBI's taxonomy places the organism in Eukaryota, Metazoa, Chordata, Aves, Galliformes, Phasianidae.
UUAUUUCCUGAAGAAACAAACUCUUUAUUCCCAGCUCUUUCAGUGUUAAUGGGAUACAGUUUAAAAUACUUCUUUGGUGAUUCACACAGAAAUGAUUACCUAACCGAACUGGGAACAGGAAAAUGCACAAAGAAGACACAUGUUUGGUGUUAAAUCAAGCAAUUAGAAAAACUAAAAUAUAACAUUCCCUCCUUGGUUUGGCUAUUAGCUUUUUUACAAGUUAUUUCUCCUAACAUUUCACCUUUAAUGUCAAAUAUAUAUUUAAUUUAAAUCUGAUAAUGAAAUUAAUUAAAUGGUAACAUCAGGCUAGGAUUAAUAGCUGUGCUAGAUGAAGAUUUUUACUGUAACUGUAAAACCACACAUUCUCUUAUUCUUGGAACAAUCAGCCUCAGCUGAAAUCAUGUAUUAAAUUGAUGUUAUACACCUCAAAUAUUUCUGUUUUUAAAUGACUGGAAGACAGUCCCUAUGUGGCCAAUUACUUCUACAGUUUGCCAUCUAUUUUCCAACCUACCAUCAUGUUGUUAAUUACAGUGUCUUUUGUGGUUCUGAAAGGAAUAUCUUUCAUUUAUUAAUGAUGACAUAUAUCAAAUAUCUACCCUUAAUGCAGACUAUAAAUGAGAACUGUGUUUCUUUGUAAGGUUGUUAAAACUGGUUGUUAUGAAUCAAAAUGACAAUAGCACGCAGCAUCUCCAGUGAACCCUUUAAGAGUUUGAAAAGCAAUUUGGUAGACUAUGUGGAAGUUUGUAAUUACAUAAAAUAUCUUCUUCAGUAAUAAAUAUAAAACAUGCAGCAAAAAAAGCACUUUAUGUAAAUCUCCAUGAUGAAUAUUUAUUACUUGGUGCAUGGAAACAAACAUUCAAGUGAAUGAAUUCAGUAAUUUUUUUUUUCUAAUUCCACCACUUUUAGAAUUAAUAGAAGAGAAUUAUUGAUUAUUAAUAGAAGAAAUUAUUGAACAGACAGGUUAUUUCCAGUUUUAGACAUAAAUCUUAAAAAGGACAGUUAAACCAUCAGGUACACUGCAUUUGAGAUGUAGUUCCUCUUUCAGAUCAAUAGAAAUGAGAAGGAACUACAUCAGAUUUUAUGUUCCCUCAGCAUCACCUUGUGAACCUCAUACUAUUUCCAGCUCCUGACAUAACUUCAGUUAUAUUAUUUCCCUAAGCUUAUGCAAUCUUAACAGUAUCUAGAGAAGACUUGGAACCAUGUUUUUUUUUGUUUUGUUUUGUUUUGUUUUUAAUAAUAUAUUUCAUAUAAAGAAGCUGGAUGGGGCCUGGAUCAGACAAGCUCUUGAGUUUCCCCCAGGUGCCCACAGCUGACAGAGGAAGUGCCCAUCCUGCAUCUAAGCUAAAAAUUUCAUGGAGAUGCUCUCAGCCUCUCAGUGUGAUCUCAGGACAGCUACAGGCCACUAAAGCUCAGUGGUCUGAACACCAGUACCAACUGAGCAAUAUGCUCUCCUUUGUGGUAUCAGGGGCUCAGUCAUGCUCCAACAAGCUAAGGCCUAGAUGUCCUGCAGCAUGGUGUGGAUAGCAUGUGUUCUGAGCAGGACUGGUAUCCAUGCUGGUGUACACAAGACCACUGCUCUUGAGUCUAUUUUGGGCACUGUAGGUUUACUCAUGGCCACUUAGUGUCACCAUUUCUCAGCUCAGUAACAGGAAAUUGGUGGGCCUUUGUGGCAGGAGAGGCAACCGUUUAGACUCAUGCAACAACCCCUUGAUCACAUAUAGGAGCCAGAGGCCUCGUGUGUGUUUAUGUCCGGUGCAAGUAGUUGCUCAGCUUGUUUACUCAUCUGCAAAGUCUUUUGUUCGUAAUGUCUUUCUUUGUCCCACCGGUUUUGCAAUACAUUCCCUCCCACAGAGAAGCCCGUGUUCUCUGCAAGCCGUGAAGAAAUGAUGAGGACUUGCUUUCGCUAAGACCUAAUUUUAACUGAAAUCACGAUGAUGCUACAAUAUUAUAUGUAAUUGACAGCAUGGUGAUGUGGAAC